RNAcentral lists this unclassified non-coding RNA (576 nucleotides) under Hevea brasiliensis (rubber tree). The record is from RNAcentral. Lineage: Eukaryota; Viridiplantae; Streptophyta; Magnoliopsida; Malpighiales; Euphorbiaceae.
AUCCUGGACUUCCCUCUCAUGAUUCUGAAGGCAAUACUUUAAUGUGGCUGAGGGGAGAUGGUGGAGAUAGAGGUCUUCAGGCACUGAAUUCCCAGUCGUUCAAUGCGGGUCCCUGGAUUCAACAGAGGUACGAACCGUUACUGCUAGGAAAUGCACAUGAUCAGUUUCAAACAAUGUCUGGUCCAGUUUUACAGAACAUAAGAGGCGCUGAUAUCCUGAAGCAGCAGUUUGCAAACUAUCAGCAACCAUUCCAAUUUUCUCAACAGUACUCCAGAGCUUUACCAAUGUCACAGCAAACUGUUCAACACACAAACUCGCAAAAUAUAUUAGAAAAUCAGAUGCGCAGUGUGCAACACCAGCAACCACCUCUUCUGCAUGUUGAACAGCCAAUGCAGCAGAUUCAACGGCCACAAGCAUAUGGGACGUUUUUCGACACAAGUGAACGUAUGCAGCAACAACAAUGCAAUGUUCAUUCUCAAUCGUGUGAACCAUUAGUUUUUCAUGAUUCAAGCACUAACCAUUUGGGUUCUGCUCGCCGAGAAGUUGGUUCCGAAUUCUUUAACUUCUCAAGGCUUG